Molecule: long non-coding RNA, 1929 nt
Filed under: Daucus carota (carrot)
Lineage: Eukaryota; Viridiplantae; Streptophyta; Magnoliopsida; Apiales; Apiaceae
Description: long non-coding RNA (DCAR_LNC001921)
Source: RNAcentral
AUGUCCCACUGUACUCAUGAAAUUUCUUGAAUAUUGUUGCUGCUUAAUAUCUUUGAGUAAUAUGGGAAGCCUCCUACCAGGACUAGCUACCUAUGUUGCCUGCACUCAGAUAUGGAGUGUUGGAUACAACACAUAUCCAAGGCGAAACACUCUUACUCUGGAAUAUAUGAAAAUUGGUGAUACGGAACCUGACCUGAUUUUGGAUAAGAUAUCUUAGUAAGAUUAAACAAAAAUGUAAAAAGGAAUCUGAGAAUUAGAAAUAAUCUUUUCUUAAACUACCAAGGAGGCUUCUCAUAUUUCUUUUUCUCCUUUUCUUUUUCCUUUUACUUCCGCAUUUUCUUCUGCAUCCUCAGUUCAUCUCUUAUGUGGUCUGUAAGUUGGUCAAAGUGUCCAACGUUCAGUUGAAGGAUCUAGCAUGACUAAGUGUUCUGUGCAGGGGUCUGACACGUGUACAACAAAUGAGUCCCAGUAACAUAGGUAAAAGUUACAGUUUCUUUACCUAGGUAAAAGGUACAGUUUCUUUACCUUUGAUGGUUUUGAUAAAUUACAAGCAGAGAUCAUUUUAAUAGCAGAUAUAUCUCCUCUGGUUCGCAGAAAUUCUGCAUACUAAAGCUGAUUUUUGUCUUGCUUACUAUUAAUUUUAGCGUCUCCAGUAAGAAAAUAAGUAACAUGCAAUUCUUUCUAUAACAGUGGGAAAAUAGAAGAGACUAACUUGAUUCAUGAAAGCACACACUAGAAAAACCCAUAAAUAUAUAAGUCAAAAUAUUGUGGUACAUGAGCAAUCGUGAAUCUUCAAGUAGAAUUAAAGUUUCAGCCUCUCCGUUACUAUCUAAGUUGAACUAGAAUAUCACUAUAUGCUAAUAGAUUUGCUGCAGCUUGUUAAUUGUUUGGCCUAAAAUACAAUAUGAUACUAUCCUGACUGAUACACCUUCCAAACAACACCAGGAUACACGACAUUUCGAAGCACACAAAAUCAUGAAAGAGAGUGUAGAGGCAGUUGAAGAGAGUGAAGAAACGAUGGAUGAAAUACAGAAUCAGGAACAAGCGCACAAAACCACAGAAAAAAUCAUGUGCAAAGAAUCUGCUCCGCAGGUGCAUACCGAAGCUAAAAGAAAAGUUGGUGAUACUACUGCUUCCACUUGCAUGGACGCCAAUACUAUAUCAGAGAAACUGAAUGAAGCAGAGACACCAGGUGUUAAUACCCCUAGAAGAUCGCCAAGGAAUAAAAAGUCAGUCCAUAUCGAAAAAGGUAGUACUCCCUGCAAGCCUUCAAAAGUUGCAAAGCCUCCUACAAUAUUGUAAGUAAUUGGUAUACUAGUUUUUUUGGAGACUGUAGGAAGAUAUGCAGGUCUUUUUAAACUUGAAGUUUUGUAGGUUCAGAUAGUAGUAAGUUUGAUGUUGUAUAUGCUAAUGUUAUCAUCGUUCUCUUUUGUAGCACAAAGUUACCAACCCAUAAAGAGAAGCGCAAACGAUUAGCUUGGAAAGUGGAAGAGGAGGAGAUGCUGAAGGUACUGUCUCUAGAUUAAGUUUUUGUCUGUUUUUGAACUACUGUGUAAUUACUGUGACUGUAGAAUUAGAUGAUGUCCCACUGUACUCAUGAAAUUUCUUGAAUAUUGUUGCUGCUUAAUAUCUUUGAGUAAUAUGGGAAGCCUCCUACCAGGACUAGCUACCUAUGUUGCCUGCACUCAGGUAUGUAGUGUCGGACACGACACAUAUCCAAGGCAAAACACUUUAACUCUGGAAUUUAUGGAAAUUGGUGAUACUAGGGCCUGACCUGAUUUUGGAUAAGAUAUCCUAGUAAUGAUUAAACAAAAAUGUAGAAUGGAAUCUGCGAAUUAGAAAUAAUCUUUUCUUAAACUGCCUAGGAGGCUUCUCAUAUUUCUUAUUCUCCUUUUCUUCUUCCUUUUCUCCGUAUUUUCUUUUGCAUUC